Molecule: long non-coding RNA, 983 nt
Organism: Pyrus x bretschneideri (Chinese white pear)
Lineage: Eukaryota; Viridiplantae; Streptophyta; Magnoliopsida; Rosales; Rosaceae
Exons: 2
Source: RefSeq, a predicted model, not a curated record
AUUAGCUCAGGAGAAAUAGAAAAGUAUUUUUCCUUUUACUGUUCAUUGUCUUCCUCCUUGCACCGCCAUAGCCAUCACAAUCAUCGGUCAAGGUUGAACCGAUCCUCGGCUGAGUCCUAUUACUGGUAUCUCCCACCAUCUUGGUAUCCCUUCCGUUUUAUGCCUUGACCCAAUCCAAACACUCGCAUCUCCGUUAUGGAAUCUCGCAUGUCUGCCAUUGAAUCCACCCCUGCUAAUCUUCCCACUCUCUUCGCCGAAGCUAUCGACCAUGCCUUCGAAACUCGAAUACCAAUGUAUUUCGAGCAAUUCUGGCGGGAGCAAAGUGUUCGUAGAGGGAGCGAUGCUUCAUCGGCUUAGCACCACGCCGAUAACCAAGUUUCUCGUGAAAUCGAUCAGAUCCAGGCGCCCCGUAGCCCUCACAGCUCAACUGGAGCUCAUUCCCCACGAUCGGCGUGGUCUCCUCGCAUCCAGAUGGUGAGAUCCUUCAAUAGUCUCAUGCUGCGAGGACUUCACUCGAGCAUUGUGCAGAGAAUUCGGGCUCUCUGAGUUUGAAGAUGGUGUUAAAGCACUCUUCAAACUUCCCCAAACAGUUCUUGGAGUCCAAUGGCUUUCUACAAUUAGUCCGGCCUUAUGGGAUUUCCAAAAGCUGAUUAUGGAAUUCACAGGGCACCCAAAGCAUUACAAACUGACAAAUUCACCAUCUCCAAGGCCUCUAAUCCAGGAUGUAGCCCUGCAACAUCUCGAUAAGAAGAUUUGCAACUCUAUUUUGGGAUUCUUCCUCUGUUCACUGGAAACUCAAGGGUUACCUUUCAGUGACGUAACUCCCAAGCAACUGCAAGAAUUACAUUCUCUUCUUGGAGAAUUUAAUGAGCUUUUUGUGAUACCACCCCAUCCACCUCCCUCCAGGAUUCAUGAUCACCAUAUCCCUCUGUUACCUAGUGACAAAUGUGUUUUAAUGUUUUGAAGUAAUAUUUAUGUGGCAA